This 65-nucleotide transfer RNA is filed under the name Dipodomys ordii (Ord's kangaroo rat). It matches the Rfam family "tRNA". Rfam says of the family: Transfer RNA (tRNA) molecules are approximately 80 nucleotides in length. Their secondary structure includes four short double-helical elements and three loops (D, anti-codon, and T loops). Further hydrogen bonds mediate the characteristic L-shaped molecular structure. tRNAs have two regions of fundamental functional importance: the anti-codon, which is responsible for specific mRNA codon recognition, and the 3' end, to which the tRNAs corresponding amino acid is attached (by aminoacyl-tRNA synthetases). tRNAs cope with the degeneracy of the genetic code in two manners: having more than one tRNA (with a specific anti-codon) for a particular amino acid; and 'wobble' base-pairing, i.e. permitting non-standard base-pairing at the 3rd anti-codon position. The record is from Rfam by way of RNAcentral. Lineage: Eukaryota; Metazoa; Chordata; Mammalia; Rodentia; Heteromyidae.
GGUGGCUCAGUGGGAGAGCGCUUGCCUUGCAUGCAUGAAGCCCUGGGUUCAAUUCCUCAGCACCA